Molecule: long non-coding RNA, 215 nt
Filed under: Mytilus galloprovincialis (Mediterranean mussel)
Lineage: Eukaryota; Metazoa; Mollusca; Bivalvia; Mytilida; Mytilidae
Source: RNAcentral
UGGAGAUGUGAUUGUUACAGAUCAGCUCAAUUAUCUAUAGUAAAGGAUUCUACAAAUUAAUGCAAGAUACAGUCACAGAAAAUAAUUAUAUUUAUAAGUACGUCUGAGUCAGUGACAACUCUACAACAGAUUUAUCCAUCGGAUCACCAGCAAUGAUGGUGAUACAUGGCUGUGUACAUUAUGCAUAUACAACUCGUCUAAACAUCAACCCAACA